This 941-nucleotide ribosomal RNA is filed under the name Colwellia sp. Its description in RNAcentral is "bacterial SSU rRNA". It matches the Rfam family "Bacterial small subunit ribosomal RNA", at positions 60 to 992 of the family's 1533-position model. Lineage: Bacteria; Pseudomonadati; Pseudomonadota; Gammaproteobacteria; Alteromonadales; Colwelliaceae. The record is from RNAcentral.
AGUCGAGCGGAAACGAGAAUAGCUUGCUAUUCGGCGUCGAGCGGCGGACGGGUGAGUAAUGCUUGGGAAUAUGCCUUUGAGUGGGGGACAACAGUUGGAAACGACUGCUAAUACCGCAUAACGUCUACGGACCAAAGGGGGGGAUCUUCGGACCUCUCGCUCAUUGAUUAGCCCAAGUGAGAUUAGCUAGUUGGUAAGGUAAUGGCUUACCAAGGCGACGAUCUCUAGCUGGUUUGAGAGGAUGAUCAGCCACACUGGGACUGAGACACGGCCCAGACUCCUACGGGAGGCAGCAGUGGGGAAUAUUGCACAAUGGGCGAAAGCCUGAUGCAGCCAUGCCGCGUGUGUGAAGAAGGCCUUCGGGUUGUAAAGCACUUUCAGCGAGGAGGAAAGGGUGUUGUUUAAUACGCAACAUCUGUGACGUUACUCGCAGAAGAAGCACCGGCUAACUUCGUGCCAGCAGCCGCGGUAAUACGAGGGGUGCAAGCGUUAAUCGGAAUUACUGGGCGUAAAGCGUGCGUAGGUGGUUUGUUAAGCAAGAUGUGAAAGCCCCGGGCUCAACCUGGGAACUGCAUUUUGAACUGGCAAACUAGAGUAUUGUAGAGGGUAGUGGAAUUUCCAGUGUAGCGGUGAAAUGCGUAGAGAUUGGAAGGAACAUCAGUGGCGAAGGCGGCUACCUGGACAAAUACUGACACUGAGGCACGAAAGCGUGGGGAGCAAACAGGAUUAGAUACCCUGGUAGUCCACGCCGUAAACGAUGUCAACUAGCCGUCUGUGACCUUGAGUCGUGGGUGGCGCAGCUAACGCACUAAGUUGACCGCCUGGGGAGUACGGCCGCAAGGUUAAAACUCAAAUGAAUUGACGGGGGCCCGCACAAGCGGUGGAGCAUGUGGUUUAAUUCGAUGCAACGCGAAGAACCUUACCAUCCCUUGACAUCCAGA